RNAcentral lists this ribosomal RNA (216 nucleotides) under uncultured marine eukaryote. Its description in RNAcentral is "partial 18S ribosomal RNA". It matches the Rfam family "Eukaryotic small subunit ribosomal RNA", at positions 1230 to 1468 of the family's 1831-position model. The record is from RNAcentral.
ACCGUGAGGAUCGACAGAUUGAGAGCUCUUUCUUGAUUCGGUGGGUGGUGGUGCAUGGCCGUUCUUAGUUGGUGGAGCGAUUUGUCUGGUUAAUUCCGAUAACGAACGAGACUCUAGCCUACUAAAUAGUUCGCCUAUGCUCGUAGGUAGGCGUUAACUUCUUAGAGGGACAAGUGGCGCUUAGCCACACGAGAUUGAGCAAUAACAGGUCCUGGU